RNAcentral lists this ribosomal RNA (502 nucleotides) under Paraeuchaeta antarctica. RNAcentral's name for it is "LSU rRNA". It matches the Rfam family "Eukaryotic large subunit ribosomal RNA", at positions 1295 to 1747 of the family's 3401-position model. Lineage: Eukaryota; Metazoa; Arthropoda; Copepoda; Calanoida; Euchaetidae. The record is from RNAcentral.
UGCCGAAGCAACUAGCCCUGAAAAUGGAUGGCGCUAAAGCUUCUCACUUAUACCCUGCCGUUCAGUUAGAACCGAGCUUUUAGCUCUUGACAACUGAACGAGUAGGCAGGUCGCAUCGGUGGCGCGGAAGGCUCUGGGUGUGAACCUGGCUGGAGCCGCCGGUGGUGCAGAUCUUGGUGGUAGUAGCAAAUACUCCAGAGAGGCCCUGGAGGACCGAUGUGGAGAAGGGUUUCGUGUGAACAGCUGUUGGACACGAGUCAGUCGAUCCUAAGGCUUAGGGGAAACCUUAUACAAUAGAGCGGUGUUUUCUUAUUGAAGACCGCAUCUACAGCCGAAAGGGAAUGAGGUCCUUAUUCCUCAACCUGAUAGCGGAACCGAUCCGGCCCUCGUACCGACACGGCAACGUGAAAUGAGCCUGAAACGUCCGCCCGAGCUCUGGGAAGAGUUGUCUUUUCUGCAUAAGCCGCCGAGGCCCUGGAAUUCCUUCGAGGAAAGAAUGGGU